AUGAACGCUGGCGGCGUGCCUAAUACAUGCAAGUCGAGCGCACAGACGAGGAGCUUGCUCCUCUGACGUUAGCGGCGGACGGGUGAGUAACACGUGGAUAACCUACCUAUAAGACUGGGAUAACUUCGGGAAACCGGAGCUAAUACCGGAUAAUAUAUUGAACCGCAUGGUUCAAUAGUGAAAGACGGUUUUGCUGUCACUUAUAGAUGGAUCCGCGCCGCAUUAGCUAGUUGGUAAGGUAACGGCUUACCAAGGCAACGAUGCGUAGCCGACCUGAGAGGGUGAUCGGCCACACUGGAACUGAGACACGGUCCAGACUCCUACGGGAGGCAGCAGUAGGGAAUCUUCCGCAAUGGGCGAAAGCCUGACGGAGCAACGCCGCGUGAGUGAUGAAGGUCUUCGGAUCGUAAAACUCUGUUAUUGGGGAAGAACAAAUGUGUAAGUAACUAUGCACGUCUUGACGGUACCUAAUCAGAAAGCCACGGCUAACUACGU
This 495-nucleotide ribosomal RNA is filed under the name uncultured bacterium. RNAcentral describes it as "partial 16S ribosomal RNA". It matches the Rfam family "Bacterial small subunit ribosomal RNA", at positions 29 to 506 of the family's 1533-position model. The record is from RNAcentral.